AUGGGCUCCAUGGCCGCGGAAAUGACUGCCGUCGAGGAGGAGGCGUGCAUCUACGCCAUGCAGCUGUCUUCCACGGCUGUGCUGCCGCUCACGCUCAAGAACGCCAUCGAGCUGGGCAUGCUCGAGAUCCUGGUGGGCGCCGGCGGCAAGAUGCUGUCGCCGUCUGAGGUUGCGGCGCAGCUGCCGUCGCCGACGACCAACCCGGACGCGCCGGCCAUGGUCGACCGCAUGCUCCACCUGCUGGCAUCCUACAAGGUGGUGUCGUGCGAGGUGGAGGAAGGCACGCAUGCCCGGCGGUACGGCCCCACGGCCGUGUGCAAAUGGUUCACGCCCAACCAGGACGGCAUCUCCAUGGCCCCGCUGCUGCUUCUCACCAAUGACAAGGUCCCUAUGGAGAGCUUGUACCAUUUGAAGGACGCGGUCCUUGAUGGUGGCCUCCCAUUCCACAAGGCACAUGGGAUGACAAUGUAUGAGUACACCAAAACGGACGCGCGCCUGAACCGCGUCUUCAACGAGGCCAUGAAGAGCUACACCACCAUCGUCACCGGUAAGCUCGUCGAGCUCUACACAGGCUUCGAGGAUGUGGCCACCCUCGUGGAUGUGGGCGGCGGCAUCGGCGCCACCAUUCAGGCAAUCACCUCCAAGUACCCGCACAUCAAGGGGAUCAACUUCGACCUGGCCCACGUCAUCGCGGAGGCGCCGCAUUCACCCGGCGUGGAGCACGUCGCCGGCGACAUGUUCAAGAACGUGCCCAGCGGCGAUGCCAUCGUCCUCAAGUGGAUCCUCCACAACUGGACCGACGAGCACUGCACGACCCUGCUAAGGAACUGCUACGACGCGCUGCCUGCGCACGGCAAGGUUGUCGUCGUCGAAGGCAUCCUGCCGGUCAAACCAGAGGCGACGUCCAGGGGGCAGCAGGCGUCCCUCAGCGACAUGAUCAUGCUCACGCACACGGCGGGCGGCAAGGAGAGGAACCAAAGGGAGUUCGAGGAGCUUGCAAAGGCCGCGGGGUUCACCGGUGUUAAGACCGCCUACAUCUACAGCAACACCUGGGUCAUUGAAUUCACGAAAUAG
This 1074-nucleotide ribosomal RNA is filed under the name Triticum aestivum (bread wheat). RNAcentral's name for it is "partial small subunit ribosomal RNA". Lineage: Eukaryota; Viridiplantae; Streptophyta; Magnoliopsida; Poales; Poaceae. The record is from RNAcentral.